This 75-nucleotide transfer RNA is filed under the name Candidatus Berkelbacteria bacterium. RNAcentral's name for it is "tRNA-Phe". It matches the Rfam family "tRNA". Rfam says of the family: Transfer RNA (tRNA) molecules are approximately 80 nucleotides in length. The record is from RNAcentral. Lineage: Bacteria; Candidatus Berkelbacteria.
GCCUGGGUAGCUCAUUGGUAGAGCGCGGCCCUGAAGAGGCCGGCGUAGGUGGUUCGAUUCCGCCCCCAGGCACCA